RNAcentral lists this ribosomal RNA (234 nucleotides) under uncultured bacterium. RNAcentral describes it as "partial 16S ribosomal RNA". It matches the Rfam family "Bacterial small subunit ribosomal RNA", at positions 791 to 1035 of the family's 1533-position model. The record is from RNAcentral.
UAGUCCACGCCGUAAACGAUGAGGACCAGGUGUCGGGGAGACCCGGUGCCGGAGCAAACGCAAUGAGUCCUCCGCCUGGGGAGUAUGCGCGCAAGCGUGAAACUCAAAGGAAUUGACGGGGGCCCGCACAAGCGGUGGAGUAUGUGGUUUAAUUCGACGCAACGCGAAGAACCUUACCAGGCCUUGACAUGAGGAUAAAGGCCCCGGAGACGGGGAGAUAGUCAUAUCCUACAC